CGUAGAGAUCUGGAGGAAUACCGGUGGCGAAGGCGGCCCCCUGGACGAAGACUGACGCUCAGGUGCGAAAGCGUGGGGAGCAAACAGGAUUAGAUACCCUGGUAGUCCACGCCGUAAACGAUGUCGACUUGGAGGUUGUGCCCUUGAGGCGUGGCUUCCGGAGCUAACGCGUUAAGUCGACCGCCUGGGGAGUACGGCCGCAAGGUUAAAACUCAAAUGAAUUGACGGGGGCCCGCACAAGCGGUGGAGCAUGUGGUUUAAUUCGAUGCAACGCGAAGAACC
RNAcentral lists this ribosomal RNA (282 nucleotides) under Escherichia coli. RNAcentral describes it as "partial 16S ribosomal RNA". It matches the Rfam family "Bacterial small subunit ribosomal RNA", at positions 689 to 970 of the family's 1533-position model. The record is from RNAcentral. Lineage: Bacteria; Pseudomonadati; Pseudomonadota; Gammaproteobacteria; Enterobacterales; Enterobacteriaceae.